GGCUGGUCCGAGUGCAGUGGUGUUUGCAACUAACUGAUCACAACCAGUUACAGAUUCCUUUGUUUCUUCUCCACUCCCACUGCUUCACUUGACCAGCCUUCA
RNAcentral lists this Y RNA (102 nucleotides) under Prolemur simus (greater bamboo lemur). RNAcentral describes it as "Y RNA (ENSPSMG00000000589.1)". It matches the Rfam family "Y RNA". Rfam says of the family: Y RNAs are components of the Ro ribonucleoprotein particle (Ro RNP), in association with Ro60 and La proteins. Lineage: Eukaryota; Metazoa; Chordata; Mammalia; Primates; Lemuridae. The record is from Rfam by way of RNAcentral.